UCUUAAAUCUUAAAAGAUUCUUAAUAAAAUCUUAAAUAAAUUCUAAUUAAAUCAUAGAAAAAUCCUAAUAAAAUCUUAAAUCUUAAACUUAGAUCAAAUUUCAAUUAAAUUCCAAGAAAAUCUUAAAUCUUAAUGCUAAUCCUAAACCAAAUCCUAAUCAAAUUCUAAAUCCUAAUACUAGACCAAAUCCUAAUCAAAUUCUAAAUUCUAAUCUUAGACCAAAUUUCAAUGAAAUUCUAAAUCUUAAUUAAAUCCUAUCAAAUCCUAAAUAAUUUUUAAUUAAAUUCUAAAAAAAUCCUAAAUAAUUUCUAAUUAAGUCCUAAAUAAAUUCUAAUCAAAUUUUAAGGUCUAAAAAAAGUCAAGAAAAU
Molecule: long non-coding RNA, 368 nt
Filed under: Physcomitrium patens
Lineage: Eukaryota; Viridiplantae; Streptophyta; Bryopsida; Funariales; Funariaceae
Description: long non-coding RNA (PPAT_LNC000990)
Source: RNAcentral